GAUGAAGAACGUAGCGAAAUGCGAUAAGUAGUGUGAAUUGCAGGUGUAUACGUGAAUCAUCGAAUCUUUGAACGCAAAUUGCACUUUCUGGUAUUCCAGGAAGUAUGCCUGUUUGAGGGUCGCCUAAAUAAACUUCGAUUAUAUUGCUUUUUUUGUAAAUAUAUGUCGGAUUUGGGCUUUUCUUUAUUUUUUUUUAAAUAAAGUGGCUUAAAAUUUUUUUUUUUGGUAUCUUCGAAAAGCGUAUUUUACGAUCAAUGUCGAUCAAAAGAAACGUUGUCGAAUGCCAUCCUUUAUUAAUGUAAUACGUUUGACUUGUGUUAUCAUCUAGUUCAUUCGUAUACGAUUCUUGAUUUUUUGACCUCAAAUCAGGUAAGAGUACCCGCUGAACUUAAGCAUAUCAAUAAGCGGAGGA
This 412-nucleotide unclassified non-coding RNA is filed under the name soil metagenome. RNAcentral's name for it is "partial contains 5.8S ribosomal RNA, internal transcribed spacer 2, and large subunit ribosomal RNA". The stretch from base 1 to 122 matches the Rfam family "5.8S ribosomal RNA", at positions 35 to 154 of the family's 154-position model. The record is from RNAcentral.